Molecule: long non-coding RNA, 2034 nt
Organism: Magnolia sinica
Lineage: Eukaryota; Viridiplantae; Streptophyta; Magnoliopsida; Magnoliales; Magnoliaceae
Exons: 2
Source: RefSeq, a predicted model, not a curated record
AGCAAGCCAAAGCAUAUAUAAUCAAGACUUUGAUUCCUCACACAUCCUUAGGUUUAAGGAUUGAUUAAACUCGAUACAUCCACAAGUCAAUCGUAGUCUAGGCAUGAUGGGCCUUCCGGUCUAGAAACUUAACCUCAAUCCACCAAUGUAAGUGCCCAACAAGUCCGAAACCAGGAGCCCAUAUCCAUGGCACAAUCAUACUCAUAUGUGGCGUAGCGCAAAGGCAAACCGACUUGUCAUAAUGCUCGAUGGUGAAGACCUUCUAUCCCGACUCAUCCUGAGUCCCCUCACAUAAUAUGACCACGAACAAAGUAAUAACCACAAGUUUGUCCUACAACUCUACUAAGUGGUCAUGGUAUAACAGGGUAUUGAGAUCCAUGGCCCACAACUCUUCAUUGGUUAGUGGUUGUUGUAUUGCUCUCAAGUUUCCAAAGAUAAUCAACAGAAUCCCUCUCUUUUGAACUCAUGUUUAUGAAUGGUUGAGAUACUUCCAUGUAACCAUGGCACAAUCACAUGUUUGUCUAGGACACCCAUGGUCAUCGUGAUCUAUGACCAAGACCAUCGAUACCGUUGGAUACCAUCAAUAUCAUCAAUGGAUAAGUUUCACAUUAGUUUUCAAGGCACAACUCUAAUACUAGGUCCAUCAUAUCCCACAGCCAUGAUUGAUCAAACAAAAACAAAUCUAAACUGUUGAUUUUACAAAACAAUGCAUAUGAUAAUUUCAAAAUCAAUUGUUUAAUUAAAAUGAUUUAAAAAAUCAAUAUAGCCAACUAUGUUGAUGGUGUUGAGGGUUUGAUUCUAAUUAGGGCCGGACUCUCUCUAUUCUUUCGUAAGUAGUUUGUGUUGUAACACAAGUAAACAACUACUCUUGCCUAGGUAAGUAAUUGUGUUAUAUACAACCUACUCUUUCAAUUUAUAUAUGUAUCUCUCCAUACUCAGAAAAAUAAUGAGAAAAAAUCGGAAUUCUCCACUCACCUGUUCUCACAUGGUAUUAAAGCUUCUCUGGCGCCUGCAACAGCUGCUGCUAGCUAAUCUCUCUUCAUAUAAAUACUGCCAGAGACGUGAUGCCAAACCCAUUGUGAGUUGCAUCUGCUCCAGCAUCCCAUCAACGACGCUGGGCAACAGCACGUCGCCUACGCACCACCUUAAAAAAAUCUGAAACCCUAGCUCCCGCUCCUCUCUCGAAUCUAUCGUCGUUCCCGCAGCUUCUCCGGAAUCGAGCUCUAAUAAAGAAACCCUAGAUUCGCCACCCCGAGACGAAUCGACGCUUCCAUUGGAAAGCCUAGUUUUGGAAUCGAGCUGUGGAGAAGAAGAAGAAAUCCCUGGAUCUUAAAACCGACAGAGUAGGCCCCUGCUCCGCCUCCCGCCAUUAAAUCCGGUGGCAUCAGCGUCCCUUUUCCGUCAGCCAAAACCAGUGGCGUCGAUGACGAAGCCUCAACAGCGGAGCACCUCCACAUUUCCGGCGAGAUUUCCUUGCGCCGCGGCCGUCCGCGGGGAGAUACAGGAGCGGAAAGGGAGAGAGUGAAAAAGAAAACAGCGUUUUGGAUAGCGGUGUCAACGGCCGGGUUAGGGCCGGGUCCAGCUCCCUCCAACGCUAGCCCGCCUCAUUCAACACAAGCCUACUCUCGGCCAGGGCCCGAGACACGCCAAAAUAGUUCAGCCGGCAUAUUUAUACAGGGCUCAACGUGAGCCCCACCUGACCUAAAAGGCUUAUAUAUUAGUGAAUGCAAGCAAUUAACUAAAUUUCCUCUAAGACCCUAAAUCUUUUCAAGUCCGAGAGCAAGCAUAACAAGCGCUUAAAAAUGCAAGCUGAUGCCAAAGAGCUAAAUCCAACUUCACUUCUGAUGUCUAGUCAAUGUAAAUACAUGUCUAGUCAAUGAAAUACAUGCGAACGCGUCUACAUGUGCUGACUUAAUUGCAUCAUGUAUAAAGGUAUGUGAUUAUGCUACCGUAAAUUAUUCAUUGACUAUGACAAUAUUCUAAGGUAUAUGAAAAAUUGGACAGGUUAAGUCUCACGAUGUACUUAAUGUUCAA